GGAGGUAGUGACAAUAAAUCACAAUGCGGGACUAUUUAGUUUUGCAAUUGAAUUGAGAACAAUGUACAAGAGUUAUCGAUAAACAAUUGGAGGGCAAGUCUGGUGCCAGCAGCCGCGGUAAUUCCAGCUCCAAUAGCGUAUAUUAACGUUGUUGCAGUUAAAAAGCUCGUAGUUGAAGUGUGGGAUAAUGUAUAUUGGAUCUUUUUAGUGAAGAUAUAUGUUGUCCCCCCUCCAAUUUCGGUCUGUGGGUAUUAAUUUACUUGCAGUUCGUGUUGGUCAUUUACUGUGAGAAAAUUAGAGUGUUCAAAGCAGGCAUUUGCUUGAAUAUAUUAGCAUGGAAUAAUAUUAAAAGGCUUGUAUGGUCGAUUUAAUUGGUUUGUUCAUAUAAGCAAGAUUAAUAGGGACAGUUGGGGGUAUUCAUAUUCAAUAGUUAGAGGUGAAAUUCUCGGAUUUAUGGAAGAUGAACAAGUGCGAAAGCA
Molecule: ribosomal RNA, 479 nt
Filed under: Blastocystis sp.
Lineage: Eukaryota; Bigyra; Opalinata; Blastocystidae
Description: SSU rRNA
Rfam family: Eukaryotic small subunit ribosomal RNA
Source: RNAcentral